This 71-nucleotide transfer RNA is filed under the name Stegodyphus mimosarum. It matches the Rfam family "tRNA". From Rfam's summary of the family: Transfer RNA (tRNA) molecules are approximately 80 nucleotides in length. Their secondary structure includes four short double-helical elements and three loops (D, anti-codon, and T loops). Further hydrogen bonds mediate the characteristic L-shaped molecular structure. tRNAs have two regions of fundamental functional importance: the anti-codon, which is responsible for specific mRNA codon recognition, and the 3' end, to which the tRNAs corresponding amino acid is attached (by aminoacyl-tRNA synthetases). tRNAs cope with the degeneracy of the genetic code in two manners: having more than one tRNA (with a specific anti-codon) for a particular amino acid; and 'wobble' base-pairing, i.e. permitting non-standard base-pairing at the 3rd anti-codon position. The record is from Rfam by way of RNAcentral. Lineage: Eukaryota; Metazoa; Arthropoda; Arachnida; Araneae; Eresidae.
GCCUUCGUAGUGUAACGAUAACAUACUCGACGCGUAUUCGAGAGGUCCAGGUUCGAGUCCCGGCGAGGGUA